GGUCUGUAGCUCAGUGGUAGAGCAUCUGCUUUCCAUUCAGAAGGUCCCAGGUUCAAUUCCUGGCAUCUCCA
Molecule: non-coding RNA, 71 nt
Organism: Podarcis lilfordi (Lilford's wall lizard)
Lineage: Eukaryota; Metazoa; Chordata; Lepidosauria; Squamata; Lacertidae
Source: the annotation of a GenBank genome assembly